RNAcentral lists this ribosomal RNA (301 nucleotides) under uncultured bacterium. Its description in RNAcentral is "partial 16S ribosomal RNA". It matches the Rfam family "Bacterial small subunit ribosomal RNA", at positions 509 to 809 of the family's 1533-position model. The record is from RNAcentral.
CAGCAGCCGCGGUAAGACAGAGGAUGCAAGCGUUAUCCGGAAUGAUUGGGCGUAAAGCGUCUGUAGGUGGCUUUUCAAGUCCGUCGUCAAAUCCCAGGGCUCAACCCUGGACAGGCGGUGGAAACUACCAAGGUGGAGAACGGUAGGGGCAGAGGGAAUUUCCGGUGGAGCGGUAAAAUGCGUUGAGAUCGGAAAGAACACCAACGGCGAAAGCACUUUGCUGGGCCGACACUGACACUGAGAGACGAAAGCUAGGGGAGCAAAUGGGAUUAGAUACCCCCGUAGUCCCUGUCUCUUAUAA